Long non-coding RNA from Strigops habroptila (Kakapo), 1837 nucleotides. The record is from Ensembl. Lineage: Eukaryota; Metazoa; Chordata; Aves; Psittaciformes; Psittacidae.
GCGAAAACAAGCCCAUUUUAGCCGGUAUGAGUGAAAAACAGAAACAGUGACAUCCAUACUUGCGCUUAUUUCAGAAGACAGUAUUUUAUGAGAAGUGGUGACAGGGCAGAGCGUAUGAAACUGCUUGUUUCAGAACGGGUUGCAACAGGCCCUCCGACUACCAAAAGAUCUCUGCAUCCUUCCUUCUUACUGUCCUCCCCGAGCACGGGCCAUGAGCGCUUCACAGCAACAGUGCAAAGCUGCCUGCACAUGCAAAGACUGUGUAUGGAGAUCAGGGUGAAAGAAGUGAAGUUGGCCUAGGAAGUCCCACAAGCAAGAUUCACUUCUCUGAUUGGAAAAAUUCCUGACUAUGAGAAAAGUGAAGCAUUAAAAUGGAUUGCCUUGGGUGAUGGUGGAAUCCGUAUCAUCCCUGGCUUUUAAGAAAAUCAUACAUUUGAAGAUGAUUGAUUGAUUUGUCUUGGGAGAAAUGGAUAAACUAGAUUAUCUUGUGAAGCCUUUCUUCGGAUUCAGGUUCUAUGAACCUGAGGUUCUUAUGUUUAUUACCAUUAUCAACAGCAUUUUUAAUGCAGUGGCAUCAAGGACUCAAAGUGAUAGCAUAACUUUCUUGCACUAGGUGCAACAGCCACUGCAGAAUAAAGAACAUGGAGACAAUUCCUCCUUUAUACACAUUUACCUGCAAUUUCACUGGCAAAGUGUGUAAUGUGACAAACAUAGUGGUGCUGCCAGAGUGAAGACAUGAAAGAAAGUGAAGAGAGCAGCUGCCUAUAUUUCAAAUCUGAUUGGCAGGAAUGAGUGGCUUCCUGAACAAGAAGGAACAUUAAAUGUGUAUAUCUCCUAAAUCCUAGUUUAGGGUCUUCUGCUGACCUGCUGCUCUGACCUUGAACAGAUCAUCUCCUCAAGCCACCACUUCCUUUCUUGUUCUUUUCUAGUCUUGUUUAUUUAAGAUGGUGUAUCUUAGACAUGAGGAAUAGUAUGGUUGCACUGCAUAUAUCCACUGUUCUCAUAAUUAGUGUUGAAAAUAAUUUGUAAUUCAUACACCUCUGUAUCUAAGUAUAAUAAAAGACAGGCCUCAUUUCUGCAAGGACUACUGCAUGAUGUUAACUAAGCACUAUGUUCAGUUGAAUCCCUGGGGAAUACUCCUUGUACAAAACAGUCCUAUUCAGUGCUGUAAAUCUUGCUGCACUGAGGCCUAAAUUUGCAACAAGAUAAAUCCUAUUUUUGUUCAUGGCAAUAAAAGCUUAACUGAAAAAAAAAAUUGUUACUAACUGUUUAGAAUUUUUUAUCUAUAUGUUAAUGUACGUGUACAAGUACAUUGAACUAGUGAUGAGUUCUGAAUCAUAUUAAGCAUGUGAUUAGAAAUUUGCUUCUUUUUCAAGUAUCAUAUUGCUUCUGCCUUUGACCACUCUUGUUAAAGUGAUUUCUGAUACUGUGAUGUACUGUUCAGAGAGGUUUAUUCUUUUAGGUUUACAUAGUGCUACAGUAUACAUCAUACUCGAGCACAAUUCGUACUGAUAUAUAUUGCCCCCAAUACUGGGGACACCAUGCAAAUACUAGGAAGAAAAGUUCCUGACCAAAGAACUCAAACAUGAACUUAACCCAGUGAAGAGUCAUUUAUUCAAAACUAUAAAAGUGAAAGAGGGCAGCAAGAAAUACAAAGUAUCUCAUUAUUUUCACUUACUGAUUGAUAAAAUGGCAGAUAAAUUUAAAAGGUGAUAAAUACAAUUCAAUGUGUAUUGUAAAAACAAUGUCUUUUACGUGUACAGUGAUAUGACCUAGAGAACCCUGCUACAAUGUAACUUGCCUUGUUAGUAUAUUACAUUAAGUAUCUCAUGCUGAA